RNAcentral lists this ribosomal RNA (497 nucleotides) under uncultured bacterium. RNAcentral describes it as "partial 16S ribosomal RNA". It matches the Rfam family "Bacterial small subunit ribosomal RNA", at positions 28 to 507 of the family's 1533-position model. The record is from RNAcentral.
GACGAACGCUGGCGGCGUGCCUAAUACAUGCAAGUUGAGCGCUGAAGGUUGGUACUUGUACCAACUGGAUGAGCAGCGAACGGGUGAGUAACGCGUGGGGAAUCUGCCUUUGAGCGGGGGACAACAUUUGGAAACGAAUGCUAAUACCGCAUAAAAACUUUAAACACAAGUUUUAAGUUUGAAAGAUGCAAUUGCAUCACUCAAAGAUGAUCCCGCGUUGUAUUAGCUAGUUGGUGAGGUAAAGGCUCACCAAGGCGAUGAUACAUAGCCGACCUGAGAGGGUGAUCGGCCACAUUGGGACUGAGACACGGCCCAAACUCCUACGGGAGGCAGCAGUAGGGAAUCUUCGGCAAUGGACGAAAGGCUGACCGAGCAAAGCCGCGUGAGUGAAGAAGGUUUUCGGAUCGUAAAACUCUGGUGGUAGAGAAGAACGUUGGUGAGAGUGGAAAGCGCAUCAAGUGACGGUAACUACCCAGAAAGGGACGGCUAACUACGUG